Bombina bombina (fire-bellied toad) is the source of this 4131-nucleotide long non-coding RNA. RefSeq lists it as uncharacterized. The record is from RefSeq and is a predicted model, not a curated record. Lineage: Eukaryota; Metazoa; Chordata; Amphibia; Anura; Bombinatoridae. The transcript is spliced from 2 exons.
CUACACCAGUGGGAGCUAGCUGCUUUUUUGUGUCUUCACACAUUUGUCUCUUGUGAUUGGCUAACUAGAUGUGUUCAUCUUGCUGCCUGUAGUGCAAUGCUAUUCCUUCAGUAAAGGAUAACAAGAUAAUUUAACAAAUUUUAUAAUAAAAGUAAACUUGAAAGUUGUAUGUUCUAUCCGAAUAAUGAAAUAAUUUUGUAUGGCUUCCUGUCCCUUUCAUUGUGUACUAUAUAAAAAAUGCUUUCUGUUGGUUUUUGCACUUUUUGUUGUUGCUUAAUAUAAAGAUAUCAGGGUGUCAAAAAAAACUGUGCAUAUAAAUUGCAACAGGAGACGAUCUUCUUCUCUUCUGUAAAAUGUUUGUAUGAACUGUAUAAUGCCUUGAAUUGCUACAGCUACACGUACUGCUGGUAUAAUCAUCGCUAUACUUAUUGUCAUGUGAUUAAUUCAGUAUAAUGACCUCUAUGGCCGUGUAGCAAUUAGACUUUAUUGCUGUGCAGCAGUUUUAGUGUAAUGACUGGCUGCGCAGCUAGACUUCCAAAGGUCAUAGAUGUUUUAUACGCAGCAGGUUCAGAGGAACUUCCAUACGAGGAGAAAAAUAUAUCUCAGCAGAUUUGUGUGGUUUGUGCACAUCCUCCCUAUUUAGCUUCAUUUGAUCAUUUUUUUUUUCUUUAACCCUUUAGAUGCUAAACCUUUUUUACACCCCCAGUGCUGAGCUAGAUUUGAGCUUUUUUUGCUACCUACAUUUAAACCCUACUGUAAGUCAAAUUUCAGUGAGUGAGCCAAACAAAUUAUAUAUUGUUUUUUUUACCAGCAGGCCCACCCGAUUCACAAUAUACCAUUAUUAUAUUUAUAAUUCAUGGCACGUCAGAUAGCUUUGGCAAAAGCUGUAAACAAAUGUAUAAUUGUGUUGCAUAGAUUUUAGUAAAUAAUACUGAAAAUGUCCCAGUGGCCACUGCUGUUACCACCUUACUAAAGUGUCAUCAUGGGUAGUCCCAUAUGAAAUAGGGGCCCAUAAGGGCAUUUGGGGGUUAUCAUAUAGAUUAGAGAGGCCCCAUUGUACAGAACAAAAAUUAAAGCACUUUUUUUCCUUGCAAGGUGUUGCUGUUUUAGAGAGGGACUUAUCUACUAGAAAAUAAACUUUACCAGGGGUCUAUACACAUUUUGCACAUAAAAUGAGUCAUUCCCAAGCAAAUCCACAUGUUUUUUUAUCUACUGUAUUUUUAGAAGACCUUUUUUGUGGUACUUCUGUAAAAGGCAGGUACAGGUCAGGCAGCAAUAGGGCAGAAUCAGGAACACAGUAGUGAAAAGACAGCCACGGGUCAGGCAGCAGUAGGAAAUAAUCAGGAAUACAGUAGUGAAAAUGCAGGCACAGGUAAGGCAACAAUAGUGCAAAAUCAGGAACACAGUAGUGAAAAGGCAGGCACUGGUCAGGGAGCAAUAGGGCAGAAUCAUUAAUACAUUAUUUAAAACGCAGGUACGGGUCAGGUAGCAAUAGGGCAGAAUCAGGAACACAGUACUGAAAAGGCAGGCACAGGUCAGGCAACAGUAGGAAAGUAUCAGGAACACAGUAGUGAAAAGGCAGGCUCUGGUAAGGCAUCAGUAUCAAAGUAUCAGGGACACAGUAGUGAAAAGGCAGGCACGGGUCAGGCAGCAGUAGGAAAGUAUCAGGAACACAGUAGUGAAAAAGACAGGCAUGGGUCAUGGAGCAAUAGGGCAGAAUCGGGAACACAGUUGUGAAAAGGCAGGCACGGGUAAGGCAGCAGUAUCAAAGUAUCAGGAACACAGUAGUGAAAAGGCAGGUAUGGGUCAGGCAGCAAUAGUUCAGAAUCAGGAACACAGUAGUGAAAAGGCAGGCACUGGUCCGGUAGCAAUAGGGCAGAAUCAUGAACACAGUAGUAAAAAGACAGCCACAGGUCAGGCAGCAGUAGGAAAGUAUCAGGAACACAGUAGUGAAAAGGCAGGCACAGGUCAGGCAGCAAUAGAGCAGAAUCAGGAACACAGUAGUGAAAAGGCAUGCACGGGUCAGGGAGCAAUAGGGCAGAAUCAUGAACACAGUAGUGAGUGAAGAGGCAGGCACGGGUAAGGCAGCAGUAGGGCAGAAUCAGAAACACAGUAGUGAAAAGGCAGGCACAGGUCAGCCAGCAAUAGGGCAGAAUCAUGAACACAGUAGUAAAAAGACAGCCACUGGUCAUGGAGCAGUAGGAAAGUAUCAGGAACACUGUAGUGAAAAGGCAGACACAGAUCAGGCACCAAUAGUGCAGAAUCAGGAACACAGUAGUGAAAAGGCAGGCACGGGUCAGGCAACAAUAGUGCAAAAUCACAAACACAGUAGUGAAAAGGCAGACACAGGUCAGGGAGCAGAAUAAGGAACACAGUAGUGAAAAGACAGUCACUGGUCAGGUAGCAAUUAGGCAGAAUCAGGAGCACAGUAGUGAAAAGACAGGCACGGGUCAGGCAGCAAUAAGCUAGAAUCGGGAACACAGUAGUGAAAAGGUGGUCAUGGAGCAAUAGGGCAGAAUCAGGAACACAGUAGUGAAAAGGCAGGCACGGGUAAGGCAGCAGUAGGGCAGAAUCAGAAAAUCAGUAGUGAAAAGGCAGGUACAGGUCAGGCAGCAGUAGGAAAGAAUCAAGAACACAGUAGUGAAAAGGCAGGCACAGGUCAGGUAGCAAUAGAGCAGAAUCAGAAAACAGUAGUGAAAAGGCAGGUACAGGUCAGGCAGCAGUAGGAAAGAAUCAGGAACACAGUAGUGAAAAGGCAGACACAGGUCAGGGAGCAGAAUAAGGAACACAGUAGUGAAAAGGCAGUCACUGGUCAGGUAGCAAUAGGGCAGAAUCAGGAGCACAGUAGUGAAAAGGCAGGCACAGGUCAGGUAGCAAUAGAGCAGAAUAAGGAGCACAGUAGUGAAAAGACAGGCACGGGUCAGGCAGCAAUAAGCUAGAAUCAGGAUCACAGUAAUGAAAAGGCAGGCACAGGUCAGGUAGCAAUAGAGCAGAAUCAGGAAUACAGUAGUGAAAAGGCGGUCAUGGAGCAAUAGAGCAGAAUCAGGAACACAGUAGUGAAAAGGCAGGCACGGGUAAGGCAGCAAUAGUGCAGAUUCAGAAAAUCAGUAGUUAAAAAGCAGGUACAGGUCAGGCAGCAGUCGGAAAGAAUCAGGAACACAGUAGUAAAAAGGCAGGCACAGGUCAGGUAGCAAUAGAGCAGAAUCAGGAACACAGUAGUGAAAAGGCAGGCACGGGUCAGGCAGCAAUAAGCUAGAAUCAGGAUCACAGUAAUGAAAAGGCAGGCACAGGUCAGGCAGCAAUAAGACAGAAUCAGGAACACAGUAGUGAAAAGGCAGGCACAGGUCAGGUAGCAAUAAGACAGAAUCAGGAACACAGUAGUGAAAAGGCAGGCACAGGUCAGGUAGCAAUAAGGCAGAAUCAGGAACACAGUGGUAAAAAGGCAGGCACAGGUCAGGUAGCAAUAGAGCAGAAUCAGGAACACAGUGGUAAAAAGGACAGGUACAGGUCAAGUAGCAAUGGAGCAGAAUCAGAAACACAGUAGUAAAAAGGCAGACACAGGUCAGGGAGCAAUAAGGCAGAAUCAGGAACACAGAAAAAAAGCAGGCACAGGUCAGGCAGCAAUAAGACAGAAUCAAGAGCACAAAUAGUGAAAAGGCAGGCACGGGUUUUAGGAUUUCUCCCAGACUUUAAUAAGUUAUUUGCUGCUUUUUUUGGCUGCCUUAUUAGACUCACCUGUCUUCUCCUCCAGACUCCCUCUUAUGUCCAAACUGGAGAACAUAUCAGAGAGACACAGGUUGUAGUCCCAGAAUGAUGAUGUCAUCAUUCCCUAUUUAACUACCUCAGUCCUGUUUGCCUUUGCCCUUGUGUUGUCUCUGACUUCUCUGUGAGUACCUGUGUUCAUGACUCUGUGUAUAACCUGGCUUGUUUGACGUUCCUUCUGGUUCCUGAUCCCUGGCUUGUUCCUGACUUUGCUGAUCUUCGUGUUCCUGACCCCGGUUCGUCUGAAUACUCGCUUUGGUUCCUGACCCGACUCGUCUGACAACCCGCACUGGCUUUCUCUAAUGGCUUGGCUUUUAGACUCUUUAUUAAUAUUUUGUAUUUUUUAAUAAAGGUGCGAUUAAUUUAGUA